This is an unclassified non-coding RNA of Papio anubis (olive baboon), 117 nucleotides long. It matches the Rfam family "Metazoan signal recognition particle RNA". From Rfam's summary of the family: The signal recognition particle (SRP) is a universally conserved ribonucleoprotein. It is involved in the co-translational targeting of proteins to membranes. NCBI's taxonomy places the organism in Eukaryota, Metazoa, Chordata, Mammalia, Primates, Cercopithecidae. The record is from Ensembl.
GCUGGGCGAGGUGGCUCAUGCCUGUAAUCCCAGCAAUUUGGGAGGCUGAGGCAGGAGGAUUGCUUGAGUCCAGGAGUUCAAGACCAGCCUGGGCAACAUGGCGAGACCCUGUCUCUA